UUGUAAUCUAUAGAGGCGUUUUCCGCGCCGGACCGCGUCCAAGUCUCUUGGAAUAGAGUAUCAAAGAGGGUGACAAUCCCGUACUUGACGCGACAACCGGUGCUCUGUGAUACGUUCUCAAUGAGUCGAGUUGUUUGGGAAUGCAGCUCUAAAUGGGUGGUAAAUUCCAUCUAAGGCUAAAUAUUGGCGAGAGACCGAUAGCGAACAAGUACCGUGAGGGAAAGAUGAAAAGCACUUUGGAAAGAGAGUUAAACAGCACGUGAAAUUGUUAAAAGGGAAACGAUUGAAGUCAGUCGUGUGAAAGGUAUUCAGCCGUCUCUGGCGGUGUAUUUGCCUUUCACGGGUCAACAUCAGUUUGAUCCGGUAGAAAAAGGCGGGAGGAAGGUGGCACCCUCGGGUGUGUUAUAGCCUCCUGUCAUAUGUGCC
RNAcentral lists this ribosomal RNA (426 nucleotides) under Vishniacozyma victoriae. RNAcentral describes it as "LSU rRNA". It matches the Rfam family "Eukaryotic large subunit ribosomal RNA", at positions 143 to 577 of the family's 3401-position model. The record is from RNAcentral. Lineage: Eukaryota; Fungi; Basidiomycota; Tremellomycetes; Tremellales; Bulleribasidiaceae.